GACGAACGCUGGCGGCGUGCUUAACACAUGCAAGUCGAACGGAAAGGCCCUGCUUUUGUGGGGUGCUCGAGUGGCGAACGGGUGAGUAACACGUGAGUAACCUGCCCUUGACUUUGGGAUAACUUCAGGAAACUGGGGCUAAUACCGGAUAGGAGCUCCUGCUGCAUGGUGGGGGUUGGAAAGUUUCGGCGGUUGGGGAUUGGCUCGCGGCUUAUCAGCUUGUUGGUGGGGUAGUGGCUUACCAAGGCUUUGACGGGUAGCCGGCCUGAGAGGGUGACCGGCCACAUUGGGACUGAGAUACGGCCCAGACUCCUACGGGAGGCAGCAGUGGGGAAUGUUGCACAAUGGGCGGAAGCCUGAUGCAGCAACGCCGCGUGCGGGAUGACGGCCUUCGGGUUGUAAACCGCUUUCGCCUGUGACGAAGCGUGAGUGACGGUAAUGGGUAAAGAAGCACCGGCUAACUACGUG
Molecule: ribosomal RNA, 468 nt
Filed under: uncultured bacterium
Lineage: Bacteria
Description: partial 16S ribosomal RNA
Rfam family: Bacterial small subunit ribosomal RNA
Source: RNAcentral